GAAAUGCGAUAAGUAAUGUGAAUUGCAGAAUUCAGUGAAUCAUCGAAUCUUUGAACGCAUAUUGCGCCCGUCAGCAUUCUGGCGGGCAUGCCUGUUCGAGCGUCAUUUCAACCCUCAGGACCCCCCUUUCGCGGGGAGGGACCUGGCGUUGGGGAUCGGCCCGCCCCCCGCGGCGGCGCCGUCCCCGAAAUCUAGUGGCGGUCUCGCUGCAGCCUCCCCUGCGUAGUAGUUACAACCUCGCAUCGGAGCGCGGCGCGGCCACGCCGUAAAACCCCCGACUUUCUGAACGUUGACCUCGGAUCAGGUAGGAAUACCCGCUGAACUUAAGC
This 329-nucleotide unclassified non-coding RNA is filed under the name plant metagenome. RNAcentral's name for it is "partial contains 5.8S ribosomal RNA, internal transcribed spacer 2, and large subunit ribosomal RNA". The stretch from base 1 to 105 matches the Rfam family "5.8S ribosomal RNA", at positions 50 to 154 of the family's 154-position model. The record is from RNAcentral.